Molecule: ribosomal RNA, 433 nt
Filed under: uncultured bacterium
Lineage: Bacteria
Description: partial 16S ribosomal RNA
Rfam family: Bacterial small subunit ribosomal RNA
Source: RNAcentral
AACGAACGCUGGCGGCAUGCCUAACACAUGCAAGUCGAACGAGACCUUCGGGUCUAGUGGCGCACGGGUGCGUAACGCGUGGGAACCUGCCCUUAGGUUCGGAAUAACUCCCCGAAAGGGGUGCUAAUACCGGAUAAUGUCUUCGGACCAAAGAUUUAUCGCCUUUGGAUGGGCCCGCGUUGGAUUAGCUGGUUGGUAGGGUAAUAGCCUACCAAGGCGACGAUCCAUAGCUGGUCUGAGAGGAUGAUCAGCCACACUGGGACUGAGACACGGCCCAGACUCCUACGGGAGGCAGCAGUGGGGAAUAUUGGACAAUGGGCGAAAGCCUGAUCCAGCAAUGCCGCGUGAGUGAUGAAGGCCUUAGGGUUGUAAAGCUCUUUUACCCGGGAUGAUAAUGACAGUACCGGGAGAAUAAGCUCCGGCUAACUCCGUG